Molecule: long non-coding RNA, 1897 nt
Filed under: Equus caballus (horse)
Lineage: Eukaryota; Metazoa; Chordata; Mammalia; Perissodactyla; Equidae
Description: lncRNA (ENSECAG00000058138.1)
Source: RNAcentral
GGCGCGGGCCCGCAGGGAGGCCGGGCCGGACCUGCGCCCAGGGACUGAAUCUCCGCGGCGGGAGGCCUCGGAUCGUCGGGCCCAGGCCGGGCGGGGCACCGGCUCCGAGCUGCGGCCGGGGGCGGCGCAGAGCCCGGGUCACCGCGUCCCCGGCUCCGGAAGGCGCGCGGGCGGGCGCGGGGCCGGAGGGAGCGCGCGCUCGGAGCCGCGUGCAGGGUUCAGCCGUGUUUCGGUUGCCCUCUGACCUGACCCUGGGCGCACAAAGGCCUCCCGGGUGCGCCGCCAUGGCCCAGCCUUCAGUCGCUGCCAAAUUAAUGAGCCCACGUCAGGUUGGGUUUACAGCUCGGCCGGGAAGCAGCCGAGUGGAAAAUGAGCCCGGGGCGGCCGCGGGGCCGGGGAAGUCGAGGCCGCGCCGCGGCGCCCUCCGCUCCCGCUCUCGCUCUCCCUCCUGCCGCCUCCCGAGGGGGCGGGCCUGCCGGGGAACCGGCUGGUCUGCGAGCAACGGGUCUGCCCUGCUUCCCGACGCCGUCGCAGACCCCGCAGAAGUCGAUCUGCUGGUUCAUCCUGAAGUCUGGAAGACUGGCUCCCUGUGCUGACGGCUCUGCUGUCCUAUAGCUCUUUAAACACUGUGGGGAAUUCCAUUCAAGAAAAAUGACCAGACUUGAAGCUGAUAAAGCUUACAGGUAUUGUGAAUCAACUAAAAGAAGAACUAACAUCGCCCCUAAACAAAAAAGGGACUUUGAGUCCUCUUCUGGGAAAGGGUUAUCGUGUUGUGAAGGUUGUACCAUUUCAGGCUGAAGCGUGACUUUGGUGUGGUUUUCAUUUGGAGAUAAAAUAUGGCUUAAGGAGCUGUGUACAGUGUAAGCUGACAAAGGGUCAUCUCUGGCGACUUUGCAAUGUGUCAGUGUGGCUAGACUGAAUUGUGUUUCUCAGAACUUCACUCCGUAUGUUUCCAGUUAGAGUGUGUCACAAGAGAGAUCCUGGUGUGAGAUCUGGAGGCCACGAGAGAAGCAGCAGCCACUGUUGCUGAUGUCCCGGUUCACCCUAUAGUGUCAUGCAGCAGCCGGGCCUACAGCUCCUCCACCUCCUCCUGGGGCUUCCUUCAGCUUCUCUGACUCCUGGGCCGGAUGCGUGUUGGGUCCACAAUGAAGGACAUCAACUUCUGCGGACACUCAGACCAUCAAGGUCAGAAGCAGCCAAAGCUGCCAGCUUAUGUUGUGGUUUCGCCAAUCCUUGCUCUACCCUGCUCUGCACUCACCUUCCCUUCCCAACUGCCUACCCUGCAGACUCUGAUUUCUAGCAUCAGUCACAGAGGCGGCGUUAAAGGAACUGCUUAACCAGCUCCCCCACUGCAUAAGAUCCAGUCUCUGUAACAGUCCCUCUCACGUAUCUACCUCGUGUGCCUUUGCUUCUUCAACUGAGCUCUGACAGGUGCAGAGGCUUAAAGAACACGAGAGUUUAUUUCCUCACACGCAACACUUCAAGGAUGCUGUGCCGUUCAUCUGUGCUCUUCCAGAACCUUCGCAGUUUAAGAUGUGAAAACAGACACUUCCUGAGCCUGAGCUCACCGCGGAGGCCUCUGGGCACUGGAAGAAGGUAGAGCACAAGCUGCUUUGGAUGAGUUCUACUGCGUGGCCCCGACUGGAAUGUUACAUCAAUAACAGUGUGAUAUGACGAUGAUAGCAGCCAACCUUGAUUUGGCCCGUCCCAUGUGCCAGUGCUCUGCAUGCAUCACGUUAUGGAGUUGUCACGAUAAGCCUAUGGGAUAGGGAUUAUUAGUACCCAUUUUACAAAUGCAAAACCUGAGGCUCGGAGAGGUUAAACAGGUUAUUCACCAGGUUAGUAACUGGUGGAGCUGGGCCUCAAACCAUUGGCCUCUCGAGCGUGGGCUCUCAAC